CGGAACUUACCCCCCCCGCCCGGAUGUGACGCCACCGCCUCGGCACCUCCCACCGCCAGGCAGGCGGGAAGGCCGGCCACUGGAGGGAGCCCCGGCGGGGAGCGCGGGGCGGGGCCUCCCGGUCGCCCAGGGCGACGGCUUUCCGCCUUUCCCUACGGCUCCAAAGCCAGGUGCUGCUAAGAAAAGCCUAGACUUUCCGGGCCCCAUCUUCAAAAGAGCCCCACUCGGCAACCUCCUUACAAAGUCCGCUCAGGUAUGAACCUAAGUGGAAAGGAAGAGCAGGGUUCUGAGCCUAAGUAAACUCGACCCUGGUGGCCUAAGAAUUUGUCCAACUCUCUUUGGAGAAGGCUGGUCCGAGAGCCUAUGGAAGCAGAAAUGAGACUGUCAUCUGGGUGCUGGUCAGCAGGGGGCACUAUUGUACCUCCCUUCGCCCUAGUGAUGAAGCAGACCUUGUCUCAGACAAACCAACCGAGUGUUGAGAGCGCCACUGCAUCCCUGAGGCUGGUAGAUGGGAACAGAUAAUCUCUUGAUCCCGGGAAACGGGUGGAUUGACUCCUGAGAGCUUAAAAGCAUGAUGGGUGGGCGGAAUAGGGCCCAGUGCUAUUGUUUUCCUGGUAACCAACAAUACAACAACAAAUUGACAGGUGUUAUCUGUCCGUCCCUCCUCUCCCCAUCCCCCCUUACUUAAAAAAGGUGCAGUAACUCUCUGCCCUAACCAUUGCAUUCCUCUUUCCCCUUCCUUUACCCUAAUCAGCUUCUGAUUUCAUCUUGUAUUGGAAGGACCUUAGACACGGUUGCACAACAGUGCGCGUUUUUACUGCCGCUGAACUGUACAUUUUAAAAUAAUUUAAAUGGUCAAUUUUAUGGUAUGUAUAUUUUUCCACAAUUAAAAAAAAAGGACCUCGACAAACUCAGGGAGGAAAAAAACGAAGUUUGGACUAACCUUGCCGUAACCUUGACCUUUUUUGUUCAAGGAGUCCUAGCCAAUCCUAGGCUUUCCGGCAAGGCUUCUCAUAACCAGAACUCCCUGUGUAAACACGUGGUUAUUGACUCCCCCGUCUCUUCCCGUUAAAUCCACAUCAAAGUAAUAUGCUGUCUUUACCUGUUUAUUAAUCUCAAGAGCACAGUCUGGGCUGUGACACCCUCCCCCUAAAGAUACGUAUAUUGCAUUGCUGUUGACUUUGACCCUUCCUCACUACUUUCAACCUUGUUGCCUCCUGCUUAUUCAGUGCUUUCCCCAAUUCCUGUAAACACCUCACUUUCUUUCUUUGACCCUAUGAGGCAAGAGUCAGCAAAUUUUUCUGUAAAGGUCCAGAUAGUAAGUAUUUCUG
This is a long non-coding RNA of Rhinolophus ferrumequinum (greater horseshoe bat), 1331 nucleotides long. RefSeq lists it as uncharacterized. Lineage: Eukaryota; Metazoa; Chordata; Mammalia; Chiroptera; Rhinolophidae. The record is from RefSeq and is a predicted model, not a curated record. The transcript has 3 exons.